GAUGAACGCUGGCGGCGUGCUUAACACAUUCAAGUCGUACGGGACUCAUUUAAUUAAUCUUUCGGGAAGCGUUGGAUGAGUUUAGUGGCGGACGGGUGAGUAACGCGUGAGCAAUUUGCCUUUGUGAGUGGAAUAACACCCGGAAACAGGUGCUAAUACCGCAUAACGUAUCGAUGUCGCAUGGCAAUGAUACCAAAGAGAGAUCGCACAAAGAUGAGCUCGCGUCCGAUUAGAUAGUUGGUGAGGUAACGGCCCACCAAGUCGACGAUCGGUAGCCGGACUGAGAGGUUGAACGGCCACAUUGGAACUGAGAGACGGUCCAGACUCCUACGGGAGGCAGCAGUGGGGAAUAUUGGGCAAUGGGCGAAAGCCUGACCCAGCGACGCCGCGUGAGGGAAGAAGGUCUUCGGAUUGUAAACCUUAGUUAGCAGGGAAGAAGAAAGUGACGGUACCUGCAGAGAAAGCCAACGGCUAACUACGUGCCAGCAGCCGCGGUAAACGU
This 502-nucleotide ribosomal RNA is filed under the name uncultured bacterium. RNAcentral describes it as "bacterial SSU rRNA". It matches the Rfam family "Bacterial small subunit ribosomal RNA", at positions 28 to 528 of the family's 1533-position model. The record is from RNAcentral.